UCUCCUCUCUUUCUCUUCCUCUCUAUCUUUUUGUCUCUCUUUAUGUCUAUUGCAUUAUGCCUGAAUAAUUUUCAGCCUUUUUUUUUUCCUCCCUUCUUGCACGCACAUGCUAAAAUAACAAGACAAAGCUGCAAGGUGGUUGCUGCAGUCCCUGUCUCUAGGACAAAACCAAGAAAGCUCGUGAUUGCAAUGCCACCUUUCCUUUUUUUUUCUUUUUUUUUUUUUCCCCCCCCCACCCAUGCUCGGUGAUUAAACUUCCCCAGGAUGGGGAAGAAAAAGGAGCUGGAAAUGAAAUAGGGUUGAGGAAAAAUCCCAUUGCAGCAGCUGCAGCCAGUGGUGUCUGCUGCCAGAUGUGCUAAGGUUCCUGGGGUCCUUGACACUAAAAGGCAGUAUUAAAAUAUUUGGAGACAAAAGCUGCAUCCUCAGUGAUCAUUUUCUUUAUUUAACAUGGCAGCAGGCGCCGUGUGGGGGAAAAUCAACACGCUGGAUGUUGAAUUGGACUUUUCUCCUUUCUAGGAUGAAAGGAUGUUAUCUAUCCCGUGCCAAGAGGGAACUGAGGUGCAGGGGGAGGGGAAGAAAGUCUUCAAAACUAGCCCGCCAUGAGCAAUGAACAUAUGGCUGUUACUAUCAGCACUGGUGUAUUUGCGGCGAUGCCUAUCAACAUCCACCAGAGAGCAGGGCAGCUCCAAAACCCACAUCUUUUAUGCUGUGGAAAUGGAUGGAGACAGCAACACAGCCAGCUUCUUGGCCAAACAACAUGGAAUGCAGUUCAUUUCAAAGCCAGGAAAGGACACAUUUGGAUGUGUUUGGCAGAGAUUCCUAAGGGUAACAGAAGCAGUAUACAAGCAAGAACAAAGUCAGGUACUGGUCUCUUAGCCUGUAAGGCUUGUGCAUGAUGUAUAUGAGAGUGAUUUCCAGCAGAGUGAAGCUUAUCACAGAUCCACCUAAAAGGUGAAAUGGGUGAAUAUCAGACAGCUCAUUAUAGAGACAAGCAUGCUGCAUUCCCAAAGUAGGAUGACAGAACAAGUCAUGAUCUUGUACAGAAGGAAAAUGAGAUCCCUGGUGAAGCCUACAAUGUCAUUGACUCUGAAGAAGGACUCAGAGACCCAUUGGUGUUUAAUGACCCUUAUUGGCCUCCACAAAAGAAACUGCCCUGUUUGUAUUUACAUCCAGUCAUUUAUUGCCCAUUAAAGAAGUAAUGCUAUGUUAAUGUAAGGGAAAAAAUCAAUGCUACUCAGAUCAGUAGCUGUGGGGAAACGGUGCAGCAGCUGGUUUGCAAACAGCAAGCCCACAUAGAUCAAUGAAAUUACAAGCUAAAUCUGCUGAUGCUCACAAACUGCUCCAGCAUUGUGAUGUCUAACCUUUCUCAAGUUCAAGAUCUCUGGCAAGCCAGCAAUAGCUAAAUGGAAAAAAAAAAAAAAAAGACAAAAAAAAAGCAAGAAAGAAAGAAACAAAGAAAGAACAUAACAGGCUGGUGGAGAAUUUUUAGCAUGAUAUGUAAUAUUCCACUUUUGAAGUUAUCAGUAUAACUGCACGUUUGUAACAGAUAUAAAAACCACUGUAAUCUCCCAGUGAGCAAAGCUGCGAUCUACACUCUCUGGAGAUUUUCUUCCUUAAGAAUGUUCAAAUCUGUCACAUAUUACCUUGAACUGUAACACUGCAGGGCUAGAGAGCACUUCAGUAAUGUGGUUGUUAAUGUGAGUUCCAGGAAAUAAUUUAUCAAUGAGCAACAGUACAGCUUCUGCCAUGUGCAAUGUCUUUUAUUUUAUGGCAUGGUUGUAGCCUUAUAAUGGUUUGAAUUUUGUUAGCUUGCAAAUUAAACAUGCAAAAUAUUUGACUUGUUGAAUGCAAGAUUAAUUUGCAUAUUUUAUGCUAUUUUUAUGGUAAGGGAAGGAGCCCCUUUAUGCCAAGGAAAACAAUACUGGAAUUUAUCAAUAUCAUGUGAAUAACGUGCCUUUCAAAUGAUUAUUUUCAGGGCAGUCCUCACCCUAUUUGUGCCACUUUUUUAAACACAGCAAAAGCAGAAAAAAAGGCAUCUUGAGUUUCCUUCAAAUAUUGACACGUUUUUUGUGGGGGACAAAAUGUGUACUUUGCAAAUAUACAAUUCUUAUUGUCUACUAAUCUCCUCUUGCUUUACAUAUAUUAAUUAAAUGUCACAGUUUGAUUCCAUUCUAUUGUAUCUGUUUUGCAAGUUGUAAAUAAAAAAACAUUAAGAGGUUGGAAACAUUUUUUUUGGUCUUCCAGCCAGGGAGUAGCAGAACUGUAAAUGGAAGUCCAGUCCUUAUUAACUGUCUUCUGUUAUUGUAGGCUUGCAAUAUUUUACAAACCAAGAACAUUCAAAAAUAAAAUCAACAA
Molecule: long non-coding RNA, 2355 nt
Organism: Harpia harpyja (harpy eagle)
Lineage: Eukaryota; Metazoa; Chordata; Aves; Accipitriformes; Accipitridae
Exons: 8
Source: RefSeq, a predicted model, not a curated record